ACGCACGCUGGCGGCGUGCUUAACACAUGCAAGUCGAACGGAAAGGCCCUGCUUUUGUGGGGUGCUCGCGUGGCGAACGGGUGGGUAACACGUGAGUAACCUGCCCUUGACUUUGGGAUAACUUCAGGAAACUGGGGCUAAUACCGGAUAGGAGCUCCUGCUGCAUGGUGGGGGUUGGAAAGUUUCGGCGGUUGGGGAUGGACUCGCGGCUUAUCAGCUUGUUGGUGGGGUAGUGGCUUACCAAGGCUUUGACGGGUAGCCGGCCUGAGAGGGUGACCGGCCACAUUGGGACUGAGAUACGGCCCAGACUCCUACGGGAGGCAGCAGUGGGGAAUAUUGCACAAUGGGCGGAAGCCUGAUGCAGCAACGCCGCGUGCGGGAUGACGGCCUUCGGGUUGUAAACCGCUUUCGCCUGUGACGAAGCGUGAGUGACGGUAAUGGGUAAAGAAGCACCGGCUAACUACGUG
Molecule: ribosomal RNA, 467 nt
Filed under: uncultured bacterium
Lineage: Bacteria
Description: partial 16S ribosomal RNA
Rfam family: Bacterial small subunit ribosomal RNA
Source: RNAcentral